AUAGACCGCACCCAAAACCGCACC
RNAcentral lists this non-coding RNA (24 nucleotides) under Arabidopsis thaliana (thale cress). The record is from RNAcentral. Lineage: Eukaryota; Viridiplantae; Streptophyta; Magnoliopsida; Brassicales; Brassicaceae.